Molecule: ribosomal RNA, 680 nt
Filed under: uncultured bacterium
Lineage: Bacteria
Description: bacterial SSU rRNA
Rfam family: Bacterial small subunit ribosomal RNA
Source: RNAcentral
AAGUCAGAUGUGAAAGCCUUCUGUUCAACGGAAGAAUUGCAUCUGAAACUGCGAGUCUUGAGUGUAGGAGGGGAGAAUGGAACUUCUGGUGGAGCGGUGAAAUGCGUAGAUAUCAGAAGGAACGCCGGCGGCGAAAGCGAUUCUCUGGCCUAUUACUGACACUCAGUGUGCGAAAGCUAGGGGAGCAAACGGGAUUAGAUACCCCGGUAGUCCUAGCUGUAAACGAUGGGCACUAAGUAGAGGGGAUUACCGAUGUUCUCUCUGCCGUAGCUAACGCAUUAAGUGCCCCGCCUGGGGAGUACGGCCGCAAGGCUAAAACUCAAAAGAAUUGACGGGGGCUCGCACAAGCGGUGGAGCAUGUGGUUUAAUUCGAUGCAACGCGGAGAACCUUACCGGGGCUUGACAUGGUAGAAGUAGGAACCUGAAAGGGUAACGAACGGUAUCCAGUCCGUAACUAUCACAGGUGUUGCAUGGCUGUCGUCAGCUCGUGUCGUGAGACGUUGGGUUAAGUCCCCUAACGAGCGAAACCCUUGUUUUUAGUUACCAGCGGGUUAUGCCGGGUACUCUAGAAAGACUGCCGUCGUCAAGACGGAGGAAGGUGGGGAUGACGUCAAGUCAUCAUGGCCCUUAUGCCCCGGGCUACACACGUGCUACAAUGGCCGGUACAAACGGAAGCGAAG